Long non-coding RNA from Boleophthalmus pectinirostris (great blue-spotted mudskipper), 1813 nucleotides. RefSeq lists it as uncharacterized. NCBI's taxonomy places the organism in Eukaryota, Metazoa, Chordata, Actinopteri, Gobiiformes, Gobiidae. The transcript is spliced from 3 exons. The record is from RefSeq and is a predicted model, not a curated record.
GGACAGGGACCACCAUCUGCAUUUCCCCAUGAAGUUUUACAGUAUGCAUUAAUGGGGACCAACUACCAGGCCAAGUUCAGAUCUGUGGAGAGGCGAGGACUCUCACGCUACACUGAGACCUUUGCACUCCUGAAGAAUGGGUCAAAUGCUGUGGACCACAAAUGCCAAAUCGCAACCAUCUCUCACCCUGAGCACCCGCCCACCUCGCUACAGACAGACGGAUGGUGAUGUCAGCGAGAGGCGUGGAUCCUAACUCAAUCUUUGGGUGGUGGGAGAGCCCUGAAUGCGUGAGGGGGUCAGCGCCAAAUGACAAUAAAUGACGCCAAUAGAAGCAGGAACCAUAAAGCUUUAUCAGAUUAGAGGAGCAAUGAAAUCAUGACAUAUUACUUCGGCCUAAACACCGCAAUUGGAAAAAAGUCUGAGGAUAGCAUUUUGCAAGACUUUUACUGCUCUUUUUAUUACAUUUGCCUUUUGUUUAUUUUUCUUCCCCGCGGUUCAGUUUGCGCCUCUCCCCGAGACAACGCACUCCCUCUUCAUGCUUUAUAUGGACGUAUGGUUGCCGGGGCGGAGUGGGUAUCCUGGGAAGUAUAAAUGCCCCUCUCAUUGCGUUUGUGCGUUUGAUAAAAAUCUUCCUUCCAGCUCUGGGUUUGUUGGCGGGCCGCUAACCAGCUCCAGCACUGGCUUCAGCUGACUCCUAUUUGAUCAUGCACCGCUGUAAUGGAAGCCAGGUCCCUCUGCGCACACACACACAGACACACAAACACACAGACGCAUAUGCACAGACACUCACACUCGUGUUGGGGUUCCAUGCUUCUCGGGAACAUUACAUUGAUGUACAUGCAUUUCCGAGAGACUGAUCCUAACCUUAAACAUAGUCACUACUUGCCUAAGCUUAACCUGAGCCCCAAAUUUAGCCUAUGUUUUACCAAUAUCUGAACUUUAAAACAUGUUGUUGAUAAUAAUAAUUAAAAAAAAAAAACGAAAGCUGCUCUCGGCAGUCAUGAUGACCGCCUGGCAUGCUACUGUCCCUUGUCCUUCUGCCCAGGCCACAGAUCCUCCAUCAGAAAAAUGACACAGAGCACCUUUAAGUGUUUUUUGUCAUGUUUGCACUCCUGCUGAACAACCGUUAAACUCAAUGAUUCUCUUCAGUAGAAAGACAAGCAACUGCAAGACCAGAUUAAUGCACAUAAGGAGAUUCAGUACCUGUACAACUCUACAGUACAGGGAAAUAUGCAGUUGAAGCAAGAGCUUGCAAACUCCAAAUUAGGAAUAAGACUGAUGAUUUGGAGAUGCAAGAACUUAAAGCUUCUCUCCAGAAGAAAAACAAAGAGCUGGCGACUUGAAUAAAUGGAUAUAAAGAGAUCCAACAGUUCAGUGAGACAAAGUGUCCAGCUCAAAAAAAAAAGCUAUCCAGCACCAGUAAAGUCCUUGAAAAGAUGAAGGAACAACUUAAAGCACAGGACAAUAUCAUUGAAAUGAGAACCAUAAACAGGUCGGAUCCAGAGAGAUGCAGAGACUCUCAAACCACUGGUAUUGGAGUUGGUGGAGGUGUAACUCACAGAGACAAUGAGAAACUGUCCUCUCAGCACGAGAGGAGGUACGUCUCCUGAAGUUUUGUUGCGAAAGUGAAAAAGCUCAGCCAUACAGCUGCCUGAAAGGAGCAGCCGUAGUAAAGGAGCAGAGGAGGGUGUUCCAGCGCAAUUACCAACACUAAAGCAUCUUCAAACAUUACCCUUUACACUUUGCAUUAUGUAAAAAUAAAACAAAAAUAGUUUUAACAUUGUUAAAAUAGUCUAUGGUAGUUAUUCAUGUU